Molecule: ribosomal RNA, 386 nt
Filed under: uncultured bacterium
Lineage: Bacteria
Description: bacterial SSU rRNA
Rfam family: Bacterial small subunit ribosomal RNA
Source: RNAcentral
GACGAACGCUGGCGGCGUGCUUAACACAUGCAAGUGGAGCGACGAACCGGGGCUUGCCCCGGGGCAGAGCCGCGAACGGGUGAGUAACACGUGGGUAACCCACCCCGAUGACCGGGACAACCCGAGGAAACUCGAGCUAAUACCGGAUGUGCUCCUUGACCUUGAGGUCAAGGCGUAAAGAUAGCUUCGGCCUUCGCAUCGGGACGGGCCCGCGGCCCAUUAGCUUGUUGGUGGGGUAAAGGCCCACCAAGGCGACGAUGGUAGCUGGUCUGAGAGGACGAUCAGCCACACUGGGACUGAGACACGGCCCAGACUCCUACGGGAGGCAGCAGUGGGGAAUCUUGCGCAAUGCGCGAAAGCGUGACGCAGCAACGCCGCGUGGGGAA